GGGGCCAGGGGGUCUGGUUUUAUAGUCCCCUCAAGUGAACCUGGGCCGUCGGAUCAAACCGACAAUGAUUGAACGGUUAUUCUUGAUCCUUUAGGUCGGUGGAGCAUAAUCCGCGAGAUUGAGCGUGAUUGGCCGAAAAAGGUGGGCGGGCGCCCUAAGGACUUGGGCGGGCGCCCUGUCCCUGACUCCGUUCAGUCUCCGCUUCCCUCCCGUGGCUUCUGGAGUCUUCUAGAUGUAAGAUAAUUGCGCGGCACGUUGAUAUCUCUAUGUAAUCCCGACGUGUGGGCCUUUCUUCCUUAUUUCCUCAUAACCCUCUGCAGAAAUAGACAAACACCAAAACUCGUGGAAUUAUGUCAGAUAAAACCCUAAGUCUUGAUGUUGAAUUCAUUUGGAUCCUUUUCUUUGUUUAUUUGAUAGUUAAUUUUGAUACUUAAGGACCGUCAACAAACUCCCCCAAGCUUACCUCUUGCUCGUCCCUGAGUAAGGAUAGACUCAGCUAUGGAUCAUAAGUUGUUGCAAUAUCUUUAAAAAUUGACGGUACACAUGCUUUUAAAUGAGGUCUCAUCUCUGAGUUAGAGUAAACUGUCAAGACUUAAAACUUACUUACUUUACCUUUCACCAUGGGACUUGUAACCGUCACUUCUGUCUUGAGUGGUUAAAAGAUAGAACAGUCUUGUCAAGUGCCAUGUCUCUUAUUCUUGAUCAGCUAUAGCUCUGGAGUUUUUGCAGAUUUUUAAAUAAAACUCAGAGAUUCCUUUGUAUGACUCUCUCAUAUCUCUCUUUUGUGGUAUUUCUGGAUCCUUACCAAGGCAGUGAUGGUAUAUGCCUUCUCUCAAGAUAUGUGGUAUUUGUGGUAUAAGGCAUAGUGACAUUGCCUUCUCUCUCACCCUACUCUAAUAAGGCUUUAAUAUCUGGAGCUCAUAGGUGGGAGAUAAAGUAUACAUACUUACAAGACAUUUAUUGUAUAGUCAAACCAUGGAUCCAAAGAAACAAAUCAAUAAGCCAAAUCAAGAUGUGCAUGUGUGGCGAAUGAAUAGUUUAUGGUGAUGAUGGUGAUAACAAUGGUGAAAGUCUAAUUCUACUUUUGCUCUUUUGAGGGGAUACAUACCUUCCUUGCUUUUUGAAACUUUAUGAGGAGAAUGAGAUGCUCUUCUUUUUUCUUUUCUCUCAGAUGGGUAUCCUGUACCCCUAAUUCUACUGUCGGACACUUGUCCAUUUUUACCUCUUGUCUCACUCUUUUUCUUUUCUUUCGAGGUUCCGGGCACUUGCCCCUUUUUAUUUCCUCGUUUAUUUUUUUUCUUUUUUUUCAGAGCACUCAUCUCUUGAGAUAAUAUAGCAAGUGGUAGUAGCAAGAUAACUUGAGCAUUUAUUUCACAAGGGAAAAACACAGAUGUUUUUGGCUAUUCUCUCCCGAAUUAGGAGUAGAAUAUUUUUAGGUGAUUCUGGAGAUGGAAAUGGAUGGAUAUAUGUGGAUGGUACUUCUGGAGUAGAAGUAGCAUAUAUGAGUGAACGUGCAAGUGAAUCUUGAUUUAACCACAUGACAAGCUCCUAAGGGUCUACACAGCUUGACCACACUCAAUGCUCAUAAGCAGUAAAUAAUAAAUGUGUGGCUCAAAGUCUAGCAAGCAUGUAUAUAUGGCUGUGGUAGGAAUUUAAACUUUCAUCAUACAGGAACUCAUCGUGCAACAUUUUAAAGAUUUUCAAAGAUAAAAUUCUCCAUAAUUCUAGCAUCUCUAGGAAUAGAUAAACAGCAGCUCAACCUUCCCAUAUCAUAUCCGUUAACAACUUAGAUUUCAGAUCAAGUUUUCAUCCCAUAAGUUUAGAUCUAGAGCAAGCUUUAAAUUAUAACAGUUAUGUCUAAACUUGAGAGAGAACAUCAAAUUUGCAAAUUAGGCAGAGCAACUAUUCAUCAUAUCCAUGCUAGAGUUUUAUUAUUAAGAUUCAUAGCAAACUUUAUUUAUUUAUUUAUUUAGCAAACUAAGAAAAGAUAUAUAUAUAUAAGCAUAAAAUCUUUAUUUGGUUUUUCAUAGUUUAUGUAUUUUAAUAUUCUAAUAUAAUAUAAGUAUAAAGAUAGGUAGAAAUACUUAGCGAGAUAAAUAGGGGUGCUCUCCCCCAAGCUGAAUUUUGACGUAAUUUCUCUUGAUGUAGCUAGCAGGUGGCAGAGGUGUAUUUGAAAGUCAGCAGCAUUCUGACAGCGAUUAGAAUGUCCUCCAUCUGCUAGUCUUCUUGAUUCUUAAAUUCUGUGGAGCUCAAAUAGACAACAAAGCUUGUGGAACUAAUUAAGUGUUAGCAUAAAUAUCUAGCCUUCAUCACGUUGAGCUUCCUCAAUAAAUAUUACUCCCUGUUUUAUAUUUUUAUUUUAUAAAGUGGAAAAGAAAUAUUUAUUUUAUUUUUAUGCCACCACAGUGAAGGUACUUAUGGGUUUUAUGCCACUCGUAUACUCACAUGGGGCUUAGUAUUUUUUAAAAUUUUUAUUUUCUUUUCAAGAUAGCAUGAUUAACUAAUAAUCUAUUUAAGGAAAGUAAAUAAUUAAAUGGAAAAGGGAAUGCAGAAAGGAUAAAUAUGGAUAACUACCAAUCUUACCUUUCGGCGAGGGUUCAAUGUUUUAAGUCUUCUUGUCAAGACUUCUCAUCGUGUUCAUUCUUCAGGUGCGUCAUUUGAUUCAGGUGCGGACCUUGACGUCUGCACCUUUUAAUACGGUGUCACCCAUGUUUUUCGUUUGCCCAGCAGUUCGAAGUGCGGUGUUAGCAGUAUCUUGCUCAGUGUGUUUGUGCUACUAGUGUACCUGCUCAUAGAGACAAGACAGAGAUCAAGUGCAUGGGCCCUGUUGGUGGAAAACACCAACAGAACCAAAAGUGUAUUUGUUCUUCUCUAACCUUAAGCAUAGUGAGCAAGACAAAGUUGAUGGAUGAUAAGUUCAUGAGUGUAGCACAUAUAACAUUUGUCAGAUCAGAUCACUCAACCUUAUGAAAAGAUAAUCUAUCUAUGUAUAUGUAUUUUUCUUUAUAUCUCUCAAUGAUUGAAUGUGUAACAUUUUAGCUCAUAUGAUUAGGAGUGUGGGAUCAUGGAGGUAGUACUAAGAACAAGGAUUAAAGGACUAAACAUGUUGAACCAGUUGGGUUGGUUAAUCUAGAGUUGUAAAUCAUACACGUUUGUCUCUUUUAUUUAUAUGAACGCCAGAACCAAAGAGAAGCUUAUAAAAGUGAUAGUCAAGUACCUUAAGAUGUUACCUUGCUCGAAGAGUGAUGGUACAGUAUCAUCUUGUGGAAGCUUUCCUUUCUUAGCGGUUGUGCGUCGUGUUUGUGGCACCCUCCAUGGAUCAUCUUUCUAUGAUGAAUGAGCUUUGUCCUUCUUGUGCAAAUUGUUAAACUUCAUGUGUCACUCUCUUCGUCUCUUAUGUGAGUUUAUCUCAGGACUUCGCAAAUCGAUAUUGGAAGUUUUUCUGCAGGGGUUAGUCUGACAAAAUAUACCAAUAUCUACUCAAGCAGUUUUUUUAGUUCAAUAACCAAACUAGACUCCAUGUCUAAUCAGAUUAAGGAAGGCUAUUUAACCUAAGCACCAUGCUUAAUUUAAAUGCCAAUGGAAGUAUGGUGAGUACUUCCAAACCAACACUUGCUAGUAAAUAGACAAAGGUAGCAUGACAGCGUUUAUAGAGAUCUACUCAAGUGGAGAUGAAGUAGUGUGAUUAGUAUUUAAUAAAUGGAGCAUGUCUCAAAGGUAGGGACAACCAGCAUAGCAACAUGGCAAAGGAUGUUUUUAUGUAAAGUACUCCCCCAAGCUUGAAUUUUGCAAAAUUCAAGUUUGGAUGAAUUUAAUUCAAUGUUGUAUGAUGAUUGGUUGGACAUACCUUGUGCUUGUCAUUCAUCCGAUCUUCUUGCUCCAAUCUUAGAAAGGUUAGUGACAAGAAUACACGAAGGAAUAUUUUUUUUUUACAAUUAUCCUUAUAUGCUCAAUACACAAGGUAAUGUUGCAAAUAAUUAAAGGCUCAUGUUACGAUCUGAUCAAUGCUUAUUUUAAGACACUAAGCUUGUCCUUGGGAAACCAUCAGUUUAUGUUGGUGAAGUGGUUUCCCCUCCGACGCCAACCUAUAUCUAGAUCAACUCAACGAGAUCUGCAAUAUUUAUUAUAGACAUAUGCAUCGACAACCGCCCUUUUAAAGUUUUUAUAAAUAGAAAGGAAGAGGGGGUUGGAGAUCUCAAGUGUGGUGAUGUCGGAGAGACCAAUAGAUUGGGAAGAUGUUGCAUAUGAGCAUGGAGUAAACGAAGUGGCUAUGAAAUAAAUUCCAUGCUCAUUAAUGUUAUCUUCGUCUCUAAUCUGAAUGUUCGGAGUUUCUCCUGGAUUGGUCUCACCUAUGUCCUCUUCUGUAGUUGGAUGAAUCUCAUCUUCAAAGGGAGUCAAGAACUCACCAUUUGAAAUUAAGCCAAAGUCAGAACCCAUUAAGGCUUCUUCCUUAUCCAUCCAUUCUACACAUUCUAGCCAUUUACAACUUGUGAUCAAAAUAGAGGAGGUGUUAGAAUUUUCUAUAUGGCUUAGCUCUCCUUCUAUGGCAUUAUUUGACAUGCCAUCCUUAUGGUCUUCAUGACUCCUAUGGUUUGGUCGUCUUGGUAAAUUGCUAGGAUCAUCAUGAGACUAAAAAGAAGAGGGAUAAGAGGGAUCUCUAAGGUCAAGGAUGGAUUUAGAACUUGUGAACAUGGAAGGGGAGUAGAUAGAAUUGUCUAUAUGGCUUAGCUCUCCUUCACUUGAUAUGUCAUCCUCGACUUCUUCAUGAUAGGAACCAGGACAUUCUCUAAGAGAAACAUUAUUGCAAUGAUUUGAAUUAUCCCUGCUUAAAGGUCUCUUAUAGAACCAGAAGUCUAAACCAUCAGCAUCUAAAAGAUUUAAGGUCGGAAUUCCUUCCUCCCUUAGAGAAUUUUGGGGUAUUGAUGGUUUAGGAUCGAUAGCUGAAGUUUGGGACUGAAGUGGUUGUGAUCUGGCUAUAGAAACUUCUUCUUCUUGUCUAGGAACUGGUUCUUUCUCUUUCUCAGGGAUAUAAAAGCUAGGAGACUUUCCGCUCAUUAAAUCAAUCAAAUUCCAAGCUUCACUAGCGGAUAGGUGGUGGAAAGAUCCUCCAGAGGCCGCAUGAAGGGUUUGCUUAUCUUCCUUACUAAGGCCCUCAAAAAAGUGAAUUAGAAGAACUUCUUCUGGAAUAGAAAGUUUUGGGCAAGUGAGAGUAAGGUUAAUAAAGCGGUCCCAUGAUUUGCCAAGAGAUUCUUCUUCCAAUUGUCUAAAAGAAAGAUUCUCACCCCGAAGUUCCACCACUUUGGAGAUUGGAAAAUAUUUAGAAAGAAAACUACUAUAUAACUCCUUCCAAUCUCCAUAAACACUCCCUACUUUGAGUUUAUACCAAUGUCUAGCUUUUCCCGUUAAAGAGAACGGAAAGAGCUUCCAUUUAAGGGUCUCAUCGGACAUGCCUUCUAUGCGAAGGAGGUCACAGACUCGAUAAAACUCUCUUAGGUGUGUGUAUGGGUUUUCCUCACCUUCUCCUGAGAAAGGUUGUUUUUGAAUAAAUUCUAUGUAUUCGGGGUCUAUCUCAAAACUAGAUGUUAUGAUAGGCUUUGAAGAUUUUGGUGGUUCGAGAUGUGUGCCCAUAGGUCUAUGAAAUUCAUAGAUAGACAUGUUUGAAUUCAUAAUAGACCAGAGAUCAAGGAUUAGAUAAGAAGAAAGAAUAGCAGAGAUGAGGCAAAGGAUAAAAUAAAAAUAUUUUUUUUGUUAUAUAUAUUUUUUUUAUAAAAUGAUUAAACUAGUUCAUAGUCAACUCAGCUACCGUUUCCCCGGCAACGGCGCCAAAAAUGCUUGUUGACACUUGCUAACACCACUUUAAUACUAGGUUGUCAUCCCCAACGUGGCACUAGAGUGUACUAUGGUAUUUAUACGCACACAGAUAAUCCGCAAGCGCACGGAUACCGUUGAAGCUUUUACCCGGUUAAAGGUUUUAUCGUAUCCACAGGGAAACGGGAGAACUGAUCUACGCUCUAACUUAACCAAGAUAAGUAAAUAGGUGUGAAUAGGAAAGAUGGUAGAAUCGAAUAAGAACAAUAUUAAAGGUAAGAUAACAGUGAGUGAUAAUAUGGGAAUAGAGAAUAGAGCAAUUCUAGUAUAUGGGCGAUGGUAGCAGAAUAGAGAGGAUAACUAUGGUUUCUCUACUUCAAAGGGGUAUGUCUAUGUCUGGGACAAACCACGUGAUAAGAGUACACCACAAAGGAUGCUUAUCCAUAGGCUGAUAAACCCUACCCGUCCUGCUAACGAGAGGUGGACUACAGGGGACCAACGUAACUGUCACUUACGCGGCCUACCACACAAUCCAGCUAGUCAGGGGAUAUCCAUAAGUAAUCUAGGUCUAAGCACCACGCUUACACCUAUACUACAACUCUAACCAAUAGGGUCCUAUAGAUUAGAAGUACUCAAAAGAGUUGUGAACCAGAACAUACAUGAUUAGUAAUUGCAUAAUGAAUUAGAAGUAGAUUACCAGAGUCAUCCCAUGAGCAAGCUUGAUCAUGGCGAAGUACAACCGGAGGAAGAACCGACAGGCCAGCCUCUCCUCUAAUCCUCCUUUGCUCUCCAUCUUGCUACUAUCUAGAUCUACUCUAGUUUAGAGAAGAGAGGAGAGCUCUCAUCUCUAAACCCUAGCUUUUGCUCUGUCUAUGAAUAAUGAAUAAUGAUCAAGGGGUGCCUCCUCCAGGGGCCAGGGGGUCUGGUUUUAUAGUCCCCUCAAGUGAACCUGGGCCGUCGGAUAAAACCGACAUUGAUUGAACAGUUAUUCUUGAUCCUUUAGGUCGGUGGAGCAUAAUCCGCGAGAUUGAGCGUGAUUGGCCGAAAAAGGUGGGCGGGCGCCCUAAGGACUAGGGCGGGCGCCCUGUCCCUGACUCCGUUCGGUCUCCGCUUCCCUCCCGUGGCUUCUGGAGUCUUCUAGAUGUAAGAUAAUUGCGCGGCACGUUGAUAUCUCUAUGUAAUCCCGACGUGUGGGCCUUUCUUCCUUAUUUCUUGAUAACCCCCUGCAGAAAUAGACAAACACCAAAACUCGUGGAAUUCUAUCAGAUAAAACCCUAAGUCUUGAUGUUGAUUUCAUUUGGAUCCUUUUCUUUGUUUAUUUGAUAGUUAAUUUUGAUACUUAAGGACCGUCAACAAACUCCCCCAAGCUUACCUCUUGCUCGUCCCUGAGUAAGGAUAGACUCAGCUAUGGAUCAUAAGUUGUUGCAAUAUCUUUAAAAUUUGACGGUACACAUGCUUUUAAAUGAGGUCUCAUCUCUGAGUUAGAGUAAACUGUCAAGACUUAAAACUUACUUACUUUACCUUUCACCAUGGGACUUGUAACCGUCACUUCUGUCUUGAGUGGUUAAAAGAUAGAACAGUCCCGUCAAGUGCCAUGUCUCUUAUUCUUGAUCAGCUAUAGCUCUGGAGUUUUUGCAGAUUUUUAAAUAAAACUCAGAGAUUCCUUUGUAUGACUCUCUCAUAUCUCUCUUUUGUGGUAUUUCUAGAUCCUUACCAAGGCAGUGAUGGUAUAUGCCUUCUCUCAAGAUAUGUGGUAUUUGUGGUAUAAGGCAUAGUGACAUUGCCUUCUCUCUCACCCUACUCUAAUAAGGCUUUAAUAUCUGGAGCUCAUAGGUGGGAGAUAAAGUAUACAUACUUACAAGACAUUUAUUGUAUAGUCAAACCAUGGAUCCAAAGAAACAAAUCAAUAAGCCAAAUCAAGAUGUGCAUGUGUGGCGAAUGAAUAGUGUAUGGUGAUGAUGGUGAUAACAAUGGUGAAAGUCUAAUUCUACUUUUGCUCUUUUGAGGGGAUACAUACCUUCCUUGCUUUUUGAAACUUUAUGAGGAGAAUGAGAUGCUCUUCUUUUUUCUUUUCUCUCAGAUGGGUAUCCUGUACCCCUAAUUCUACUGUCGGACACUUGUCCAUUUUUACCUCUCGUCUCACUCUUUUUCUUUUCUUUCGAGGUUCCGGGCACUUGCCCCUUUUUAUUUCCUCGUUUAUUUUUUUUUCUUUUUUUUCAGAGCACUCAUCUCUUGAGAUAAUAUAGCAAGUGGUAGUAGCAAGAUAACUUGAGCAUUUAUUUCACACGGGAAAAACACAGAUGUUUUUGGCUAUUCUCUCCCGAAUUAGGAGUAGAAUAUUUUUAGGUGAUUCUGGAGAUGGAAAUGGAUGGAUAUAUGUGGAUGGUACUUCCGAAGUAGAAGUAGCAUAUAUGAGUGAACGUGCAAGUGAAUCCUGAUUUAACCACAUGACAAGCUCCUAAGGGUCUACACAGCUUGACCACACUCAAUGCUCAUAAGCAGUAAAUAAUAAAUGUGUGGCUCAAAGUCUAGCAAGCAUGUAUAUAUGGCUGUGGUAGGAAUUUAAACUUUCAUCAUACAGGAACUCAUCGUGCAACAUUUUAAAGAUUUUCAAAGAUAAAAUUCUCCAUAAUUCUAGCAUCUCUAGGAAUAGAUAAACAGCAGCUCAACCUUCCCAUAUCAUAUCCGUUAACAACUUAGAUUUCAGAUCAAGUUUUCAUCCCAUAAGUUUAGAUCUAGAGCAAGCUUUAAAUUAUAACAGUUAUGUCUAAACUUGAGAGAGAACAUCAAAUUUGCAAAUUAGGCAGAGCAACUAUUCAUCAUAUCCAUGCUAGAGUUUUAUUAUUAAGAUUCAUAGCAAACUUUAUUUAUUUAUUUAUUUAGCAAACUAAGAAAAGAUAUAUAUAUAUAAGCAUAAAAUCUUUAUUUGGUUUUUCAUAGUUUAUGUAUUUUAAUAUUCUAAUAUAAUAUAUGUAUAAAGAUAGGUAGAAAUACUUAGCGAGAUAAAUAGGGGUGCUCUCCCCCAAGCUGAAUUUUGAUGUAAUUUCUCUUGAUGUAGCUAGCAGGUGGCAGAGGUGUAUUUGAAAGUCAGCAGCAUUCUGACAGCGAUUAGAAUGUCCUCCAUCUGCUAGUCUUCUUGAUUCUUAAAUUCUGUGGAGCUCAAAUAGACAACAAAGCUUGUGGAACUAAUUAAGUGUUAGCAUAAAUAUCUAGCCUUCAUCACGUUGAGCUUCCUCAACAAAUAUUACUCUCUGUUUUUAUAUUUUUAUUUUAUAAAGUAGAAAAGAAAUAUUUAUUUUAUUUUUAUGCCACCACAGUGAAGGUACUUAUGGGUUUUAUGCCACUCGUAUACUCACAUGGGGCUUAGUAUUUUUUAAAAUUUUUAUUUUCUUUUCAAGAUAGCAUGAUUAACAAAUAAUCUAUUUAAGGAAAGUAAAUAAUUAAAUGGAAAAGGGAAUGCAGAAAGGAUAAAUAUGGAUAACUACCAAUCUUACCUUUCGGCGAGGGUUCAAUGUUUUAAGUCUUCUUGUCAAGACUUCUCAUCGUGUUCAUUCUUCAGGUGCGUCAUUUGAUUCAGGUGCGGACCUUGACGUCUGCACCUUUUAAUACGGUGUCACCCAUGUUUUUCGUUUGCCCAGCAGUUCGAAGUGCGGUUUUAGCAGUAUCUUGCUCAGUGUGUUUGUGCUCGUAGUGUACCUGCUCAUAGAGACAAGGCAGAGAUCAAGUGCAUGGGCCCUGUUGGUGGAGAACACCAACAGAACCAAAAGUGUAUUUGUUCUUCUCUAACCUUAAGCAUAGUGAGCAAGACAAAGUUGAUGGAUGAUAAGUUCAUGAGUGUAGCACUUAUAACAUUUGUCAGAUCAGAUCGCUCAACCUUAUGGAAAGAUAAUCUAUCUAUGUAUAUGUAUUUUUCUUUAUAUCUCUCAAUGAUUGAAUGUGUAACAUUUUAGCUCAUAUGAUUAGGAGUGUGGGAUCAUGGAGGUAGUACUAAGAACAAGGAUUAAAGGACUGAACAUGUUGAAUCAGUUGGGUUGGUUAAUCUAGAGUUGUAAAUCAUACACGUUUGUCUCUUUUAUUUAUAUGAAUGCCAGAACCUAAGAGAAGCUUAUAAAAGUGAUAGUCAAGUACCUUAAGAUGUUACCUUGCUCGAAGAGUGAUGGUACAGUAUCAUCUUGUGGAAGCUUUCCUUUCUUAGCGGUUGUGCGUCGUGUUUGUGGCACCCUCCAUGGAUCAUCUCUCUAUGAUGAAUGAGCUAUGUCCUUCUUGUGCAAAUUGUUAAACUUCAUAUGUCACUCUCUUCGUCUCUUAUGUGAGUUUAUCUCAGGACUUCCCAAAUCGAUAUUGAAAGUUUUUCUGCAGGGGUUAGUCUGACAAAAUAUACCAAUACCUACUCAAGCAGUUUUUUUAGUUCAAUAACCAAACUAGACUCCAUGUCUAAUCAGAUUAAGGAAGGCUAUUUAACCUAAGCACCAUGCUUAAUUUAAAUGCCAAUGGAAGUAUGGCGAGUACUUCCAAACCAACACUUGCUAGUAAAUAGACAAAGGUAGCAUGACAGCGUUUAUAGAGAUCUAUUCAAGUGGAGAUGAAGUAGUGUGAUUAGUAUUUAACAAAUUGAGCAUGUCUCAAAGGUAGGGACAACCAGCAUAGCAACAUGGCAAAGGAUGUUUUUAUGUAAAGUACUCCCCCAAGCUUGAAUUUUGCAAAAUUCAAGUUUGGAUGAAUUUAAUUCAAUGUUGUAUGAUGAUUGGUUGGACAUACCUUGUGCUUGUCAUUCAUCCGAUCUUCUUGCUCCAAUCUUAGAAAGGUUAGUGACAAGAAUACCCGAAGGAAUAUUUUUUUUUUACAAUUAUCCUUAUAUGCUCAAUACACAAGGUAAUGUUGCAAAUAAUUAAAGGCUCAUGUUACGAUCUGAUCAAUGCUUAUUUUAAGACACUAAGCUUGUCCUUGGGAAACCAUCAGUUUAUGUUGGUGAAGUGGUUUCCCCUCCGACGCCAACCUAUAUCUAGAUCAACUCAACGAGAUCUGCAAUAUUUAUUAUAGACAUAUGCAUCGACAACUGCCCUUUUAAAGUUUUUAUAAAUAGAAAGGAAGAGGGGGUUGGAGAUCUCAAGUGUGGUGAUGUCGGAGAGACCAAU
RNAcentral lists this long non-coding RNA (10943 nucleotides) under Sorghum bicolor (sorghum). RNAcentral describes it as "long non-coding RNA (SBIC_LNC010889)". Lineage: Eukaryota; Viridiplantae; Streptophyta; Magnoliopsida; Poales; Poaceae. The record is from RNAcentral.